Molecule: non-coding RNA, 953 nt
Filed under: Tariqilabeo burmanicus (Burmese latia)
Lineage: Eukaryota; Metazoa; Chordata; Actinopteri; Cypriniformes; Cyprinidae
Description: 12S rRNA
Rfam family: Bacterial small subunit ribosomal RNA
Source: RNAcentral
CAAAGGCAUGGUCCCGACCUUAUUAUUAACUCUAACCCAACUUACACAUGCAAGUCUCCGCAACCCAGUGAAUAUGCCCUCAAUCCCCCGCCCGGGGAAGAGGAGCAGGCAUCAGGCACAAAAGUUAGCCCAAAACGCCUAGCCUAGCCACACCCCCAAGGGAAUUCAGCAGUGAUAAACAUUAAGCCAUAAGUGAAAACUUGACUCAGUUAGUGUUAAGAGGGCCGGUAAAAUUCGUGCCAGCCACCGCGGUUAAACGAGAGGCCCUAGUUAAUAAUACAACGGCGUAAAGGGUGGUUAAGAAUAAAUAUAAAUAAAGCCAAAUGGCCCUUUGGCCGUCAUAAGCUUCUGGGCGUCCGAGACCCCAACACGAAAGUAGCUUUAACAACUUCACCUGACCCCACGAAAGCUGAGAAACAAACUGGGAUUAGAUACCCCACUAUGCUCAGCCGUAAACUUAGACAUCCAACUACAAUUAGAUGUUCGCCAGGGUACUACAAGCAUUAGCUUAAAACCCAAAGGACUUGACGGUGUCUCAGACCCCCUAGAGGAGCCUGUUCUAGAACCGAUAACCCCCGUUAAACCUCGCCACUCUUAGCCAUCCCAGCCUAUAUACCGCCGUCGUCAGCUUACCCUGUGAAGGUAAUAAAAGUAAGCAAAAUGGGCACAACCCAGAACGUCAGGUCAAGGUGUAGCCUAUGGAGUGGAAAGAAAUGGGCUACAUUUUCUAUUACAGAACACUACGAACGUGCACCAUGAAACAGUGCUUGAAGGAGGAUUUAGUAGUAAAAAGGAAAUAGAGUGUCCCUUUGAACCCGGCUCUGAGACGCGCACACACCGCCCGUCACUCUCCCCUAUCAAAACGCACCAAAAAUACCUAAUAAACCAGCACUGAUGAGGGGAGGCAAGUCGUAACACGGUAAGUGUACCGGAAGGUGCACUUGGAAUAAACC